Molecule: ribosomal RNA, 508 nt
Filed under: uncultured bacterium
Lineage: Bacteria
Description: partial 16S ribosomal RNA
Rfam family: Bacterial small subunit ribosomal RNA
Source: RNAcentral
GAUGAACGCUAGCUACGGGCUUAACACAUGCAAGUCGAGGGGAAACGAUAGGGAAAGCUUGCUUUUUCUAGGCGUCGACCGGCGCACGGGUGAGUAACGCGUAUCCAACCUGCCCAUCACUUGGGGAUAACCUUGCGAAAGUAAGACUAAUACCCAAUGACGUCUCUAGAAGACAUCUGAAGGAGAUUAAAGAUUUAUCGGUGAUGGAUGGGGAUGCGUCUGAUUAGCUUGUUGGCGGGGUAACGGCCCACCAAGGCGACGAUCAGUAGGGGUUCUGAGAGGAAGGUCCCCCACGUUGGAACUGAGACACGGUCCAAACUCCUACGGGAGGCAGCAGUGAGGAAUAUUGGUCAAUGGACGAGAGUCUGAACCAGCCAAGUAGCGUGCAGGAAGACGGCCCUAUGGGUUGUAAACUGCUUUUAUAAGGGAAUAAAGUGAGUCUCGUGAGACUUUUUGCAUGUACCUUAUGAAUAAGGACCGGCUAAUUCCGUGCCAGCCGCCGCCGUAA